This is a long non-coding RNA of Hydra vulgaris (swiftwater hydra), 463 nucleotides long. RefSeq lists it as uncharacterized. NCBI's taxonomy places the organism in Eukaryota, Metazoa, Cnidaria, Hydrozoa, Anthoathecata, Hydridae. The record is from RefSeq and is a predicted model, not a curated record.
CUUUUUCAUGUUUAGAUUUUUUCUAACUCAAAUGUCGACUUUUUGUUACAUGAAAAAAGAUACUUAUUUUAACCCCUCGACUAUAUUGAUACACUUAGUAUGUGGAGUUACUUGUCAAUAGCUGGCGAUAAAACUUUUAAACGUAACGUCUUUAAGGGCUGAGAAGGUAAAAAUUAGAAGUCUGCAGACUGCAACGUAAAUCGAUUUCAACACCUUAUGGCUUCUCGAAUAUAUUUAGUUUCCGAUUGAAAUGAGAAUAAACUGAACUUAUAUAUAAAGUGUUUACAAUUAACUUUUUAAACUAGAAAUACUCCAAAGGAGGUUCUCCAAACGCAAGUUAAGCAAAGUCGAUAGAUGUUAAUAUCUUUUAUAUUAUGUUUUAGAUAUAAAAAAAAUUUUUUGUGACUUUAAUAUUUAUGUUAUAAUUGUAAAUUGCAAUCUUAAAAGGAUUUUAUUAUUACUU